AUAGCGUAUAUUAAAGUUGUUGCAGUUAAAAAGCUCGUAGUUGAACUUCGGACCUGGCUGGGCGGUCGGCUUAUCGGCUUGUACUGUCUGGCUGGGCCUUACUUCUUGGGGAGCUGGUGUGCCCUUUAUUGGGUGCGUCGGUGAACCAGGACCUUUACCUUGAGAAAAUUAGAGUGUUCAAAGCAGGCCUAUGCCCGAAUACAUUAGCAUGGAAUAAUAAAAUAGGACGUGCGGUUCUAUUUUGUUGGUUUCUAGAGUCGCCGUAAUGAUUAAUAGGGAUAGUUGGGGGCAUUGGUAUUGAGUCGCUAGAGGUGAAAUUCUUGGAUUGACUCAAGACCAACUAUUG
This 346-nucleotide ribosomal RNA is filed under the name uncultured eukaryote. Its description in RNAcentral is "SSU rRNA". It matches the Rfam family "Eukaryotic small subunit ribosomal RNA", at positions 594 to 945 of the family's 1831-position model. The record is from RNAcentral.